UCCUCAGUAGCUCAGUGGUAGAGCGGCCGGCUGUUAACUGACUGGUCGUAGGCUCGAAUCCUACUUGGGGAG
Transfer RNA from Cephalotus follicularis, 72 nucleotides. It matches the Rfam family "tRNA". From Rfam's summary of the family: Transfer RNA (tRNA) molecules are approximately 80 nucleotides in length. Their secondary structure includes four short double-helical elements and three loops (D, anti-codon, and T loops). Further hydrogen bonds mediate the characteristic L-shaped molecular structure. tRNAs have two regions of fundamental functional importance: the anti-codon, which is responsible for specific mRNA codon recognition, and the 3' end, to which the tRNAs corresponding amino acid is attached (by aminoacyl-tRNA synthetases). tRNAs cope with the degeneracy of the genetic code in two manners: having more than one tRNA (with a specific anti-codon) for a particular amino acid; and 'wobble' base-pairing, i.e. permitting non-standard base-pairing at the 3rd anti-codon position. Lineage: Eukaryota; Viridiplantae; Streptophyta; Magnoliopsida; Oxalidales; Cephalotaceae. The record is from Rfam.